This is a non-coding RNA of Podarcis lilfordi (Lilford's wall lizard), 1263 nucleotides long. Lineage: Eukaryota; Metazoa; Chordata; Lepidosauria; Squamata; Lacertidae. The record is from the annotation of a GenBank genome assembly.
GUCUGGUAGUUGUUUUUCUCUUUGACAUCUGGUGGGAGGGCGUUCCACAGGGCGGGUGCCACUACCGAGAAGGCCCUCUGCCUGGUUCCCUGUAACUUGGCUUCUCGCAGCGAGGGAACCGCCACUUCCCCAACUGGCUCCAAAAUAAAGCCAGUAUCCUAAAACUGGCUCCAAAAUAAAGCAAUGCUUUAUAGAAGCUAUUUUAUUACAUGAUGGAAUUGCACAGUAUGUUCUGUGUAUGCCACUGGAGGUCCGGUGGCAAAAACACUGGGGUUUCCCACUGUUCGGUUGUUGUACAGGUGACAAUGCCUCACACAAAGGUCACAUCCAUAUUAUUAUUAUUAUUAUUAUCCCCUGCACAUCUAGCUAGAUUGCCCCAGCCACUCUGGGUGGCUUCCAACACAAAUAAAAACAAAGCAAAGCAUCAAACAUUAUGAACUUUCUGAUACAGGCUGCUUUCAGGUGUCUUCUAAAAGUUGUAUAGUUAUUUAUCUCCUUGAAAUCUGAUGGGAGAAUGUUCCACAGGGUGGGCACCACUGCCAAAAUGAACCUCUGUCCUGUUCCCUGUAAUUUCACUUCUCGCAAUGAGGGAACUGCCAGAGCUGGACCUCAGUGUCAGAUCUGAACAACAUUGGUGGAGGGGCUCCUUCAGGUGUACAUUUAUACAUUUAAUGCAGUCUCAUACCGCUUUAAAGCCAUGGCUUCUCCCAAAGAAUCAUGGGAAGUGUAGUUUGUUAAGGAUGUUGGGAGGUGUGUGUCAUUUUGCAUUUCUUAGUACAGAUUUAUCUGAUGUGUAGGAAUUAUUGAUCUGAUGUGGAACCCUAUUCCAGAGGGUUCUGGAAGCUUCUCUGUGUGAAAGAAGCAAGCAGAAGGUUCAUAAUGUUUGUGUUAUUCCUUCAGAGAAGCUAAGCACAGCUGGUUUAAACUGGUUCUCUUAGCCCAGGCUUCCUCAGACUCGGCCCUCCAGAUGUUUUUGGCCUCCAACUCCCAUGAUUCCUAGCUAACAGGACCAGUGGUCAUGGAUGAUGGGAACUGUAGUCCCAAAACAUCUGGAGGGCCGAGUUUGCCCAUGCCUGGCCAAGGCCGCCCAAGUGCCAUAUUGGUGCUUUAAAUGUAUGGUGUGGUUGUGGCCAGAUUCAAGCUACAGUCCUGUGCUGCCAGCCACGGCAGAGCUCAGUGGAGGGAGAAGCCAGCCAACCAGUCGAAUCUCAGGGGGGUACUUGCCUGGAGGCAGAGUCCGUAUACAAGGUCCAGUCCCAAGGU